Felis catus (domestic cat) is the source of this 85-nucleotide non-coding RNA. Lineage: Eukaryota; Metazoa; Chordata; Mammalia; Carnivora; Felidae. The record is from Rfam.
GCCUGGGUGGCUCAGUCGGUUAAGCGUCUGACUUCAGCUCAGGUCAUGAUCUCACACUCCGUGAGUUCGAGCCCCGCGUCGGGCU